UGGCGCGUCGUCUAAUGGUAGGACAGCAGGCUCUGAACCUGCUUGUGGUGGUUCGAAUCCAUCCGCGCCAG
RNAcentral lists this transfer RNA (71 nucleotides) under Vulcanimicrobiota bacterium. RNAcentral's name for it is "tRNA-Gln". It matches the Rfam family "tRNA". From Rfam's summary of the family: Transfer RNA (tRNA) molecules are approximately 80 nucleotides in length. The record is from RNAcentral. Lineage: Bacteria; Bacillati; Vulcanimicrobiota.